UGUCCAAAAAAUUAUGAUAUGAUCAUGUAUACUUUUAAAAGUGUUACUAUUUUUUUUGAAGUUCUUAACGUUAAAUAGUGUAAGAAUUUUCAGAAAAUAGCAUAAAUGGAAAAGUUUAUUUAUUUUCAACUAUCCACUCACUGAGUUAUAAACUCAUAUCUUUUUACCAUGUUUUCCUAUCAGGAGAAGGUCGAUUUUGAGAUAUUUGGGAAAGCCUGCUGAAGCAAAAGAGACCGUUUCAUAAGUAUGUAAUGAAUAGUUGGAAAACUUAUGUUUAUUAGGUAAUUGUCUAAUUUUGGGUGACAAGCAUAUUUGUAGAAGAGUUUGUAAGUGAUGUAAUACUUGUAUGUUGACAGGAUGAUGUUGUAGAAACACUCAGUUGAAUUUUGUUAUAUUUUGUAGUAGUUGUGGUGGCACUAGAGGAAGUGGUGGUUUCCAAAACUUUUGGUUUAAAUGUCUAUUUGAGAUUUUGAUGAUUUUUCAGGUUGGUUUUGUCCAUGUUACAGGGGAAAUUCUAUCAAAAUUUUCAUAGAAAUUAGCACAGUCAAAAUAGAUCAAGUUUGCCUUGAUGGUGGGUCCGACAUUUAGCUGG
RNAcentral lists this long non-coding RNA (592 nucleotides) under Olea europaea subsp. europaea. Lineage: Eukaryota; Viridiplantae; Streptophyta; Magnoliopsida; Lamiales; Oleaceae. The record is from RNAcentral.